AGUCGAACGGAUCCUUCGGGAUUAGUGGCAGACGGGUGAGUAACGCGUGGGAAGCUACCUUGUGGUAGGGGACAACAGUUGGAAACGACUGCUAAUACCCUAUGAGCCCUAUGGGGGAAAGAUUUAUCGCCAUGAGAUGUGCCCGCGUUAGAUUAGCUAGUUGGUAAGGUAAUGGCUUACCAAGGCGACGAUCUAUAGCUGGUCUGAGAGGAUGAUCAGCCACACUGGGACUGAGACACGGCCCAGACUCCUACGGGAGGCAGCAGUGGGGAAUAUUGGACAAUGGGGGCAACCCUGAUCCAGCCAUGCCGCGUGUGUGAUGACGGCCUUAGGGUUGUAAAGCACUUUCAGCAGUGAAGAUAAUGACAUUAACUGCAGAAGAAGCCCCGGCUAACUUCGUGCCAGCAGCCGCGGUAAUACGAAGGGGGCUAGCGUUGUUCGGAAUCACUGGGCGUAAAGAGUACGUAGGCGGACUGAUAAGUUAGGGGUGAAAUCCCAAGGCUCAACCUUGGAACUGCCUUUGAUACUGUCAGUCUUGAGAUCGAGAGAGGUGAGUGGAACUCCGAGUGUAGAGGUGAAAUUCGUAGAUAUUCGGAAGAACACCAGUGGCGAAGGCGGCUCACUGGCUCGAUACUGAC
Molecule: ribosomal RNA, 638 nt
Filed under: Pseudovibrio sp. Pv67
Lineage: Bacteria; Pseudomonadati; Pseudomonadota; Alphaproteobacteria; Hyphomicrobiales; Stappiaceae
Description: bacterial SSU rRNA
Rfam family: Bacterial small subunit ribosomal RNA
Source: RNAcentral